UACAGAGGUGGCAAGCGUUGUUCGGAAUUACUGGGCGUAAAGGGCGCGUAGGCGGCCUACUAAGUCAGACGUGAAAUCCCCCGGCUUAACCUGGGAACUGCGUCUGAUACUGGAAGGCUUGAGGAUGGGAGAGGGGUGUAGAAUUCCAGGUGUAGCGGUGAAAUGCGUAGAUAUCUGGAGGAAUACCGGUGGCGAAGGCGGCAUCCUGGACCAUUACUGACGCUGAGGCGCGAAAGCUAGGGGAGCAAACGGG
Molecule: ribosomal RNA, 253 nt
Filed under: uncultured bacterium
Lineage: Bacteria
Description: partial 16S ribosomal RNA
Rfam family: Bacterial small subunit ribosomal RNA
Source: RNAcentral